GGAGAGGCCGGCAGUGUCCCAGCCGUAGUCUCCGGGGAAUUCUCCGGUGAGGUAGGAGGGAGUUUGCUCGGAGAACGGGCCGAGAUACUUGGGACGGUCGGCGCCAUACCAUAUGCUUUGGGGAGCGCUCUUGACGGUGCGACGCAUGGAGACACGGCCACCAACAACACCGACCUUGCGAACAAGUUCAUCACGAUUCUUAAGGGCAGUCUGCCCGGCGAAAGCGGAUUGUUGGAUGGCCGAGGUCGCCAUGAGGCUCGCCGGAGGUUGGUAUUGCUCUCUAGCUUUG
This 289-nucleotide unclassified non-coding RNA is filed under the name Hevea brasiliensis (rubber tree). Lineage: Eukaryota; Viridiplantae; Streptophyta; Magnoliopsida; Malpighiales; Euphorbiaceae. The record is from RNAcentral.